Molecule: ribosomal RNA, 408 nt
Filed under: uncultured microorganism
Description: bacterial SSU rRNA
Rfam family: Bacterial small subunit ribosomal RNA
Source: RNAcentral
CAGCCGCCGCGGUAAUACGUAGGGUGCAAGCGUUACUCGGACUUACUGGGCGUAAAGCGUGCGCAGGCGGUUCGGAAAGAAAGAUGUGAAAUCCCAGAGCUUAACUUUGGAACUGCAUUUUUAACUACCGGGCUAGAGUGUGUCAGAGGGAGGUGGAAUUCCGCGUGUAGCAGUGAAAUGCGUAGAUAUGCGGAGGAACACCGAUGGCGAAGGCAGCCUCCUGGGAUAACACUGACGCUCAUGCACGAAAGCGUGGGGAGCAAACAGGAUUAGAUACCCUGGUAGUCCACGCCCUAAACGAUGUCAACUAGCUGUUGGGGCCUUCGGGCCUUGGUAGCGCAGCUAACGCGUGAAGUUGACCGCCUGGGGAGUACGGUCGCAAGAUUAAAACUUAAAGGAAUUGGCGGG